RNAcentral lists this long non-coding RNA (615 nucleotides) under Olea europaea (common olive). Its description in RNAcentral is "long non-coding RNA (OEUR_LNC002773)". Lineage: Eukaryota; Viridiplantae; Streptophyta; Magnoliopsida; Lamiales; Oleaceae. The record is from RNAcentral.
UAAAAUUUAUAAAUAUGCUUAACAUAAGCCACAAAUUUUUACUUCUUCUUUAACGACUCAUUCUUACACAUAUGCAUGUUAAUAAAUCACAGAAAAUGAUCGAAUCCUUGUUCAAUUGUUUGUUAAACAUUGAAUAUUAUAACAGAGCUUCAAUAAAAAAAUACACCCAAUAUUCAACAAAAUGCGAGAGUGGGAGAGGACAAAAAUAUGUAGUGUUAAAUAAUCAAAAUCGUAAUCAAUAUGAAUUAGUUCAAAAAGCCAAAACCUUGUGAGAUACAAACACACAGAUGUACACGUACAUGACCACAAGGCAAUUAAUUCCAUACCCCCAGAAUUCUUAUUGACCAUGUAGACACAAAAGAAAAAAUUGUGGGAUACCAUCCUCACAUGUCUUGGCUAGGAUUUGCAGGUAUAUAUAGAAAACACACAGCUCUUCCCAAGAAAAAGGAAUAGGGUACAGAACUUGAAAGACAAAGUUGUUCCAGUAUGCAUACUAGAAAUCGUAAAUUAUCAUGAUAAUUUUCAGCACAUCUAUAAAAUAGUAAACAAUAUAUAGCUUCAAUAAGAAAAAAUAAGUUCAAUAAAAAAUCACACCCAAUAUUCAACAAAAAAUAG